This 494-nucleotide ribosomal RNA is filed under the name uncultured bacterium. Its description in RNAcentral is "partial 16S ribosomal RNA". It matches the Rfam family "Bacterial small subunit ribosomal RNA", at positions 29 to 507 of the family's 1533-position model. The record is from RNAcentral.
ACGCACGCUGGCGGCGUGCCUAAUACCUGCAAGUAGAACGCUGAAGGAGGAGCUUGCUCUUCUGGAUGAGUUGCGAACGGGUGAGUAACGCGUAGGUAACCUGCCUGGUAGCGGGGGAUAACUAUUGGAAACGAUAGCUAAUACCGCAUAAGAGUAGAUGUUGCAUGACAUUUACUUAAAAGGUGCAAUUGCAUCACUACCAGAUGGACCUGCGUUGUAUUAGCUAGUUGGUGGGGUAACGGCUUACCAAGGCGACGAUACAUAGCCGACCUGAGAGGGUGAUCGGCCACACUGGGACUGAGACACGGCCCAGACUCCUACGGGAGGCAGCAGUAGGGAAUCUUCGGCAAUGGACGGAAGUCUGACCGAGCAACGCCGCGUGAGUGAAGAAGGUUUUCGGAUCGUAAAGCUCUGUUGUAAGAGAAGAACGAGUGUGAGAGUGGAAAGUUCACACUGUGACGGUAUCUGACCAGAAAGGGACGGCUAACUACGUG